UGGUGGAGUGAUUUGUCUGGUUAAUUCCGAUAACGAACGAGACGUCCGCCUGCUAAAUAGCGCGACUUGGCUAGCCAGGUCUGCGCUUCUUAGAGGGACAAUGGGUGUUUAGCCCAUGGAAGUUGGACGCAAUAACA
Molecule: ribosomal RNA, 137 nt
Filed under: uncultured eukaryote
Lineage: Eukaryota
Description: partial 18S ribosomal RNA
Rfam family: Eukaryotic small subunit ribosomal RNA
Source: RNAcentral